GUGGGGAAUAUUGCACAAUGGGCGAAAGCCUGAUGCAGCGACGCCGCGUGAGCGAUGAAGUAUUUCGGUAUGUAAAGCUCUAUCAGCAGGGAAGAACAAAUGACGGUACCUGACUAAGAAGCUCCGGCUAAAUACGUGCCAGCAGCCGCGGUAAUACGUAUGGAGCAAGCGUUAUCCGGAUUUACUGGGUGUAAAGGGAGUGUAGGCGGUUUUAUAAGUCUGAUGUGAAAGCCCGCGGCUCAACCGCGGUACUGCAUUGGAAACUGUAGAACUAGAGUGUCGGAGAGGUAAGUGGAAUUCCUAGUGUAGCGGUGAAAUGCGUAGAUAUUAGGAGGAACACCAGUGGCGAAGGCGGCUUACUGGACGAUUACUGACGCUGAGGCUCGAAAGCGUGGGGAGCAAACAGG
Molecule: ribosomal RNA, 407 nt
Filed under: uncultured rumen bacterium
Lineage: Bacteria
Description: bacterial SSU rRNA
Rfam family: Bacterial small subunit ribosomal RNA
Source: RNAcentral